UAGGUCUGAGGCGAAGCAACGAAGUCUCUACAGGCACAGUAACGCAUCUAAAAAAAUAAGAGAGCAAAGGAAACCGAGCUGGAAGGAAAGCUUAAUUGGGAAAUCAGCUGCAUAUUGUACCCCCGUGGGAAUAUGGAAGUGGCUGCAGAUGGAGUCGCCAGCCUGGCUUCACUUUUGGGACAGCUCAAGCUACAACGUCAAAGCAACCGCUUCAGUUUUAGCACCUGGGCACCUGUGGGAACCUCCACCCUGACCCCAGUGACACUUCUGCCUGCACAUGACAGCUAAAGGUGAAACUCAGCAGCUCCCAGGGAUGAUGAAGAAGGAGGUGAUGCCAAGGAACAAACACAGAGACACAUCUGAAAUAAAACCCCCUAAAGCUAAUCCUGCAGGACAGAAAUGCCAGCUCAGCCCUCACUGGAAGCAAACCCCCUGGGACUCCUCACCAAGGCCAUUUCCAAUACAAGGGGCAGCCUCUGAAGCCACAGCUUUAGUUGGAGCUGCACAAGCUGCAGCUCUGCAGUGCUGGGGGGGGUGGCCCUGCUGCAGAGGCUCCUCUGUCCCCACGUUCCCUCCUCCCUAUUGCAAUUCCAAAUACAAAUAAACUCGUCUGGUUUGUUUCCUGAGUCA
Long non-coding RNA from Corvus hawaiiensis (hawaiian crow), 630 nucleotides. RefSeq lists it as uncharacterized. The transcript is spliced from 3 exons. The record is from RefSeq and is a predicted model, not a curated record. NCBI's taxonomy places the organism in Eukaryota, Metazoa, Chordata, Aves, Passeriformes, Corvidae.